This 440-nucleotide ribosomal RNA is filed under the name uncultured bacterium. RNAcentral describes it as "partial 16S ribosomal RNA". It matches the Rfam family "Bacterial small subunit ribosomal RNA", at positions 338 to 795 of the family's 1533-position model. The record is from RNAcentral.
CCUACGGGGGGCAGCAGUGGGGAAUAUUGCACAAUGGGGGGAACCCUGAUGCAGCGACGCCGCGUGAGUGAAGAAGUAUUUCGGUAUGUAAAGCUCUAUCAGCAGGGAAGAAGAUGACGGUACCUGACUAAGAAGCCCCGGCUAACUACGUGCCAGCAGCCGCGGUAAUACGUAGGGGGCAAGCGUUAUCCGGAUUUACUGGGUGUAAAGGGAGCGUAGACGGCAGGGCAAGUCUGGAGUGAAAGCCCGGGGCUCAACCCCGGGACUGCUUUUGAAACUGCCAUGCUAGAGUGCAGGAGAGGUAAGCGGAAUUCCUGGUGUAGCGGUGAAAUGCGUAGAGAUUAGGAGGAACACCAGUGGCGAAGGCGGCUUACUGGACAGUAACUGACGUUGAGGCUCGAAAGCGUGGGGAGCAAACAGGAUUAGAUACCCGAGUAGUC